GCUAGGCUGGAUAUAAACUGAAAUGCUGCUCCACUAGUUAUUUAUACAAAGCUAGCUAUUCUGGAAGAUUCAUAGGAAUUGGAAGUUGGUUUACUUUUGAUUCUUACUGUUCUUUUGACUUUUAGGGCUGUCAGACUACUGAAAACCAUCUAGACCUUCAUCCACAGGCAGGUCAUAUGUGUCAAAUGGGUGUGAAAUGCUGACUAAAACUACAGACUUAUCUUUGACUGAUCAAGCUUGAAGUUUGGGAUCACACAUCAGAAAUUUGUGUCCAAAUCUUACAUCUCCAGUGUGGGCUGAGCCUCUUCAGAUGGCAGCUGAUAUCGCAGCCACCACAAACACUGGCAGGAGGUUGACAAUGGAAAGUAAUAGCAGGAAAAAUGGAUUUUUCUCAACAUGUUGAAUAGACUGCCAAAAUCUCUUUGCAAUCCACCUGCAGUCUGGAGACUGGCCAUUGCAGAGAAACCAAAGUUAAAUAACCAACUAUGGACUUUAUAUGCUAAAAAUAAAACAGCCCAGAAGAAAAAAAAAAUUUAAAUCUUAUGAUCAAACUUAUAAUAAUAAUAGAAAUGUUUGAUUACUUCCUCUGAUUAACUUUCUCCAUUAAAUGUUAUGCCUUCUCUGGAGUAAUUGUAAUGGAUGGUGAUAGAUGCUGGUAUUGAAAUUUAGUUUUUUUUCUGUCAGAAACUUAUCCUUAAGGCCUUCUAGCUAGCAACUCUUUUGAUGUGUUAACAGCCCACAGCUCUCAUCUCAGAGACUCUUCAAUGCAGUGUGCACUUCUUGAAUAAAAACUUAUUGUACAAUC
Cyanistes caeruleus (blue tit) is the source of this 805-nucleotide non-coding RNA. The record is from RefSeq and is a predicted model, not a curated record. NCBI's taxonomy places the organism in Eukaryota, Metazoa, Chordata, Aves, Passeriformes, Paridae.